GUAAUAAAUGUGCAUUCCUUCAGAUUAGCUAAACACUAUGCUCUUGGAGUUUAAAAAAUAAAAUUAAUACAAGUCAUAAACAAAACAAAACAAAAACAAAAACGCCAGCAAAAGGGUGUUAUUCUUCUAUCUCUUAGGACAGUGAAGAUUUGGAUUCCUGCAUGGCCCCUCUGAAGUUCCUCACGGGACAGAAAGAAUAGCAGUCUUUACCCAGGGACCACAGAUCUCCACAGACCAAUUUUUCCCUAGAAGCCUCAGUAUGUCCAUACAUGAGAAAUUUCCUGCUAAAAAGUCAGACAAUAAGGAGUAAUAUGGAGGAAUAAGUGAAAAGGAGGUCAGGUAUGUGAACUGAAUAGUCCUGGCAAUAGUGGAAAUCUUUGUUUUGCUCUUGGUAUUAAUGGAAGUACUUCCAAUGUUUUCACGGUGAGUAUGAUGUUUGUUUUCUGUUUCUAGUGGAUGUCCUUUAUGAAUUAAGAACAUGUCCUACUA
RNAcentral lists this long non-coding RNA (489 nucleotides) under Callithrix jacchus (white-tufted-ear marmoset). RNAcentral's name for it is "lncRNA (ENSCJAG00000069676.1)". Lineage: Eukaryota; Metazoa; Chordata; Mammalia; Primates; Cebidae. The record is from RNAcentral.